GGGAGACCGGGUACAAAAGUAACGGCGGGUCGAAAGUAACAAAUGCUCUCUAGAUUCAUCCAAUGGUCGAACACAGCUUCGCCGCCGUCAGGCGAUAGCUGAAAGCGCCCCCCUCACUUGUAGUUAGUCGCCGCGUACUUAAAGCACUGUUAGGUUGUGUGAGAGGAUACUACGUAGUUUUACAAACCAAAAAAUGCCGCGACAACGCAUAAGAACAACUACACGACACAUAAGUGUAUAGAAAAGCGGCGGAUAAUUUUUUUUCUGAAAGGUGGCACGAUAGU
This is a long non-coding RNA of Pieris napi, 284 nucleotides long. RefSeq lists it as uncharacterized. The record is from RefSeq and is a predicted model, not a curated record. Lineage: Eukaryota; Metazoa; Arthropoda; Insecta; Lepidoptera; Pieridae. The transcript has 2 exons.